GAUGAACGCUGGCGGCGUGCCUAAUACAUGCAAGUCGAGCGAACGGACGAGAAGCUUGCUUCUCUGAUGUUAGCGGCGGACGGGUGAGUAACACGUGGAUAACCUACCUAUAAGACUGGGAUAACUUCGGGAAACCGGAGCUAAUACCGGAUAAUAUUUUGAACCGCAUGGUUCAAAAGUGAAAGACGGUCUUGCUGUCACUUAUAGAUGGAUCCGCGCUGCAUUAGCUAGUUGGUAAGGUAACGGCUUACCAAGGCAACGAUGCAUAGCCGACCUGAGAGGGUGAUCGGCCACACUGGAACUGAGACACGGUCCAGACUCCUACGGGAGGCAGCAGUAGGGAAUCUUCCGCAAUGGGCGAAAGCCUGACGGAGCAACGCCGCGUGAGUGAUGAAGGUCUUCGGAUCGUAAAACUCUGUUAUUAGGGAAGAACAUAUGUGUAAGUAACUGUGCACAUCUUGACGGUACCUAAUCAGAAAGCCACGGCUAACUACGUGCCAGCAGCCGCGGUAAUACGUAGGUGGCAAGCGUUAUCCGGAAUUAUUGGGCGUAAAGCGCGCGUAGGCGGUUUUUUAAGUCUGAUGUGAAAGCCCACGGCUCAACCGUGGAGGGUCAUUGGAAACUGGAAAACUUGAGUGCAGAAGAGGAAAGUGGAAUUCCAUGUGUAGCGGUGAAAUGCGCAGAGAUAUGGAGGAACACCAGUGGCGAAGGCGACUUUCUGGUCUGUAACUGACGCUGAUGUGCGAAAGCGUGGGGAUCAAACAGGAUUAGAUACCCUGGUAGUCCACGCCGUAAACGAUGAGUGCUAAGUGUUAGGGGGUUUCCGCCCCUUAGUGCUGCAGCUAACGCAUUAAGCACUCCGCCUGGGGAGUACGACCGCAAGGUUGAAACUCAAAGGAAUUGACGGGGACCCGCACAAGCGGUGGAGCAUGUGGUUUAAUUCGAAGCAACGCGAAGGACCUUACCAAAUCUUGACAUCCUUUGACAACUCUAGAGAUAGAGCCUUCCCCUUCGGGGGACAAAGUGACAGGUGGUGCAUGGUUGUCGUCAGCUCGUGUCGUGAGAUGUUGGGUUAAGUCCCGCAACGAGCGCAACCCUUAAGCUUAGUUGCCAUCAUUAAGUUGGGCACUCUAAGUUGACUGCCGGUGACGAACCGGAGGAAGGUGGGGAUGACGUCAAAUCAUCAUGCCCCUUAUGAUUUGGGCUACACACGUGCUACAAUGGACAAUACAAAGGGCAGCGAAACCGCGAGGUCAAGCAAAUCCCAUAAAGUUGUUCUCAGUUCGGAUUGUAGUCUGCAACUCGACUACAUGAAGCUGGAAUCGCUAGUAAUCGUAGAUCAGCAUGCUACGGUGAAUACGUUCCCGGGUCU
RNAcentral lists this ribosomal RNA (1372 nucleotides) under uncultured bacterium. RNAcentral describes it as "bacterial SSU rRNA". It matches the Rfam family "Bacterial small subunit ribosomal RNA", at positions 28 to 1381 of the family's 1533-position model. The record is from RNAcentral.